RNAcentral lists this ribosomal RNA (557 nucleotides) under Natribacillus halophilus. RNAcentral describes it as "bacterial SSU rRNA". It matches the Rfam family "Bacterial small subunit ribosomal RNA", at positions 1 to 466 of the family's 1533-position model. The record is from RNAcentral. Lineage: Bacteria; Bacillati; Bacillota; Bacilli; Caryophanales; Bacillaceae.
UUUUUAUGGAGAGUUUGAUCCUGGCUCAGGACGAACGCUGGCGGCGUGCCUAAUACAUGCAAGUCGAACGGUCUAGAGGUGAGAGUUGAGAGGUGAGAAGUGAGCUGUCGUAGACAUCGGCAGAGCCGAUGUCACCUAAAUCCCACUUCCCAUUUCCCACCUCUCACUUCUAGACAGUGGCGGCCGGGUGAGUAACACGUGGGCAACCUGCCGCGGAGACUGGAAUAACACCGGGAAACCGGUGCUAAUACCGGAUAUGUCCCUGCCUGCGCCUGCAGGCGGGGAGAAAGGCGGUCUUUUGACCGCCACUCCGCGAGGGGCCCGCGGCGCAUUAGCUGGUUGGUGGGGUAAAAGCCUACCAAGGCGACGAUGCGUCGCCGACCUGAGAGGGUGAUCGGCCACACUGGGACUGAGACACGGCCCAGACUCCUACGGGAGGCAGCAGUAGGGAAUCAUCCGCAAUGGACGAAAGUCUGACGGUGCAACGCCGCGUGAGUGAGGAAGGUUUUCGGAUCGUAAAGCUCUGUUGUGAGGGAAGAACCCCUUCGGGCGGAAAU